AAAAACAGUUACUGUUCUCCUUUCCUCAGUUCUAAUGACUCUUUAAUAAAAGAAACAACUGCUUUUACAUCAUUUGGUGUUGAUGGAUUAAGUAUUAUCACGAGUUUAUCAGUAAAAUUAAGUGUAUUAAAAUUUACAUAUUUUUGUAUAUAAUAUUUUAGAAAGAUUUCUCUUAUAUUUUUAUUUAUUUUACAGUUGAAGAAAAA
Molecule: long non-coding RNA, 206 nt
Filed under: Mytilus galloprovincialis (Mediterranean mussel)
Lineage: Eukaryota; Metazoa; Mollusca; Bivalvia; Mytilida; Mytilidae
Source: RNAcentral